RNAcentral lists this transfer RNA (64 nucleotides) under Drilus flavescens. RNAcentral's name for it is "tRNA-Leu". It matches the Rfam family "tRNA". Rfam says of the family: Transfer RNA (tRNA) molecules are approximately 80 nucleotides in length. Their secondary structure includes four short double-helical elements and three loops (D, anti-codon, and T loops). Lineage: Eukaryota; Metazoa; Arthropoda; Insecta; Coleoptera; Elateridae. The record is from RNAcentral.
UCUAAUAUGGCAGAAUAGUGCGAUGGAUUUAAGAUCCAUGAAUAAAGGGCCCCUUUUUUUAGAA